GCCGCCAGGACUCCGGUUCCUGGUGUUCCCCAGAGCUGCUUCUCUGCCUUCCUCUCAUGUAAGAAUGAGGGCGUCCCGGACCUACCUGGCCCUGCAGUGUGACAGGAUCCAGGCCCAUGCUGCCCUGGGAGCCGGACUGGCCUGUGGGACUCAUCACGCCAUUCCCACCCCACGCUGGGCAAACUGCAGCCGUGUGUUUCACACAGAAUCAUUCAGCGGUCAGUGCUAGAAGCUUAUCACCCAGCCGCGUGCUCCUGGAGCCCCAGGGCUGCCCUGGUCAAGAGGGAGGGAUGCCGGCUGCCUCACCGAAGUUCACCGGUUUCCCGCCAAGUCAUGUGCUUACGGAGCUGCGACAUCCAAGCUGGAGCACCAGUUUUUUAAGAAUAAACGAAUCGUCUCUGGAAAGCUUGAAGAUGUCCUUCCACUACUCCCUUUCCCAAAUCCGACCCUCUGCCUGUGAUGGAGGAAUCACAGAAUGUCACCCUCACGCGUUGUCCUCUCUGCCAGAACCGUGAGAUGGGCGUGUUUGAGGUUUGAUGUGGAGUGCUUCAUGUGUGUCAGAACAUGUGCAGUGCUUUUCCACGAAGUCAUCGUAAUUACAUGGCCAUGGUGCUAAGAAGGAAGUAGACCCUGAAGGGAAUUAUUAUUAUUAUUAUUAUUAUUUAAUUUUUUUUAAGAUCAGCCUGGGUCAGGUGGUUUUGGGAAAGCGAUCACAGAGCUCGGCGUGUUUUCCUCAUAGCUUACCCCAGGUAUGCAGUGGCAUGAAGUGCUCUUGGUCAGCUUCCUCCACUGUUUUUUCUCGUUUACCAUCUGAGAAUCUGUAGAUGGAAGGAGGUGACUAUACACAACACACACUUGAAGGCUGGGAAGCAACGUUCUGUAUCCUGGGUAGGACACAAGUGGCUUGGAAUUCUUUUGAAUUAACUUGUGGAUGUUUACCUUAUGCUUUGAGCUGAAUCCAGUUUUACUUUAUUUACUUUUCUGCUCCAGUCAUUCUAGCCAUGGCCUCUGGAGCUUUGCCCACUGACUCCUGUAUUCGCUGGACAUCACCCAUCAUUGGGUUUUGUUUUUCACACUUUAUUCCCAUCUGGUACUUCAGUGUGCCCCAGACUUGUCUUCUCUGUUUCUUGUCCCAGUCUGAGAAUCAGUUCUCCAAGGAGUCCUGGUUCCUUACACUGAGUGUUAGUGAUAGAAACAGGGACCUGAGCGCUAGGUGUGCUCUUCACUGUGAGGUCUCAUUGCCUCACUGCUUCUAGACCCUCUUAGCUCACACAGUCGGAUUGCUUUUUUUCAGCUAGGAAAAUCAUCUGUCUUCUCAUUUCUGUUCAUCACUGGUUGGUGUUCCAUGUUCUCUCCAGAUCAGUUUAUCCACUCACCAUUUGUUCAUUAAAAGAUAUGCUGGUUCCUUCCAGUUGGGCAAUACUAAAGCUUCUACAGUCUCCACGUGCAGACUUUCUUCAGGCACAAGUUUUUGGAUCACUAGGGUGAUGGGAGUGUAAGAAAUGGCUGCGCUGA
RNAcentral lists this long non-coding RNA (1515 nucleotides) under Oryctolagus cuniculus (rabbit). RNAcentral describes it as "lncRNA (ENSOCUG00000034926.1)". Lineage: Eukaryota; Metazoa; Chordata; Mammalia; Lagomorpha; Leporidae. The record is from RNAcentral.